Molecule: long non-coding RNA, 709 nt
Organism: Mustela erminea (ermine)
Lineage: Eukaryota; Metazoa; Chordata; Mammalia; Carnivora; Mustelidae
Exons: 3
Source: RefSeq, a predicted model, not a curated record
GGCCCUUUGAAAGCAGAUAUUCUUCUGUUUAUGUGGAAGAAGCAAUCAUUUUGUGAGAGCCUAUGAUGGGAGUCACAUAGCAUGGACCUGAGGGCAGCCUCAAGAUGCUGAUACUACUUUGGGCCAACAGCCAACUAGGAAAUAACAACCUUUGUCCUACAAUUGCAAGGAACUGAAUUCUGCCAUCAACAUGAAUGAGCUUGGAAGACUACCCUGAGCACCACAGGAGAAUGUGACUUCAGUUCACACUCUGAUAGCGGCCUGAGGAGACCUUGAGCAGAUGGCUAUAUUAUGCAUGCCCAGACUCCUGACCUAGGAAAACUCCUCUGUCGUUAUUGUGACCACGUGUGGUGCCGGUGCCAGAACAUUCCUCCCUUGUGUGUUUCAUGCCCAAUAUGAUCCUCAUAUUCAGGGCUUCCAGAAGAUUCUGUCUGUUUCAUGAAUUCUUGCUAUUGCUAUCCUGAAAAGGUAAUCAGCAGCUGCUUGUGCCAAAGAGGAGGGAGAGAAGAAGCUACAUCAUCGUCCUUUGUUCUCUUACAGGAAGAACUGAACUGUGGCGCACUCUUUACUUUUUAUUGAACUAGCAAGCAAAAAAUAUAUUGUUCAUUGUUUUUAAUCACCAUAUUUUCAGACCUUAGCUGGAGCAGACGUACCUUGUAAAUGGAUACUACGUGAUGGCCCCGGCUAGAGCAAGAAAGGUUUUCUCCCC